GUAAUAUUUCUGACCACUGUGUCGUGACUGUGGCUGUGGUAGGAAGCAUUGCCAUUCUACUCAUUCUGGCUGUGUUUCUUGGUGUCCGGAAAUUCCAAAAGACUGGCACUAUGACUGUUAAUGAAGUGAAGAGCUCUCUGCACUGCACAGCAUAUGCUUUGUUGCUCGGCUUGUGUUUUGGAUGACUGAGAACCAACAGAGACAUCAAGCAACAAUACAAAAACAUGAAGGGCACAAACUCCCCUGCAGGCAGCUCUUCUAAGCAGUAUUUUAAUGAAAAGUGUGAUUGAUAUGAAUAUCUUGUGUAAGGUGAC
Astatotilapia calliptera (eastern happy) is the source of this 314-nucleotide long non-coding RNA. Lineage: Eukaryota; Metazoa; Chordata; Actinopteri; Cichliformes; Cichlidae. The record is from Ensembl.